This 363-nucleotide ribosomal RNA is filed under the name Escherichia coli. Its description in RNAcentral is "bacterial SSU rRNA". It matches the Rfam family "Bacterial small subunit ribosomal RNA", at positions 83 to 449 of the family's 1533-position model. The record is from RNAcentral. Lineage: Bacteria; Pseudomonadati; Pseudomonadota; Gammaproteobacteria; Enterobacterales; Enterobacteriaceae.
CUUUGCUGACGAGUGGCGGACGGGUGAGUAAUGUCUGGGAAACUGCCUGAUGGAGGGGGAUAACUACUGGAAACGGUAGCUAAUACCGCAUAACGUCGCAAGACCAAAGAGGGGGACCUUCGGGCCUCUUGCCAUCGGAUGUGCCCAGAUGGGAUUAGCUAGUAGGUGGGGUAACGGCUCACCUAGGCGACGAUCCCUAGCUGGUCUGAGAGGAUGACCAGCCACACUGGAACUGAGACACGGUCCAGACUCCUACGGGAGGCAGCAGUGGGGAAUAUUGCACAAUGGGCGCAAGCCUGAUGCAGCCAUGCCGCGUGUAUGAAGAAGGCCUUCGGGUUGUAAAGUACUUUCAGCGGGGAGGAA